Molecule: ribosomal RNA, 666 nt
Filed under: uncultured bacterium
Lineage: Bacteria
Description: bacterial SSU rRNA
Rfam family: Bacterial small subunit ribosomal RNA
Source: RNAcentral
AGAGUUUGAUCCUGGCUCAGAUUGAACGCUGGCGGAAUGCUUUACACAUGCAAGUCGAGCGGCAGCGCGGGGCAACCUGGCGGCGAGCGGCGAACGGGUGAGUAACAUAUCGGAACGUAUCCUGAAGUGGGGGAUAGCCCGGCGAAAGCCGGAUUAAUACCGCAUACGAUCUUCGGAUGAAAGUGGGGGACCUUCGGGCCUCACGCUUCAGGAGCGGCCGAUAUCUGAUUAGCUAGUUGGGGGGGUAAUGGCCCACCAAGGCGAUGAUCAGUAGCUGGUCUGAGAGGAUGAUCAGCCACACUGGGACUGAGACACGGCCCAGACUCCUACGGGAGGCAGCAGUGGGGAAUUUUGGACAAUGGGGGCAACCCUGAUCCAGCCAUUCCGCGUGAGUGAAGAAGGCCUUCGGGUUGUAAAGCUCUUUCGGCCAGAACGAAACGGGUCUAGUUAAUAUCUAGGCCUACUGACGGUACUGGAAGAAGAAGCACCGGCUAACUACGUGCCAGCAGCCGCGGUAAUACGUAGGGUGCGAGCGUUAAUCGGAAUUACUGGGCGUAAAGCGUGCGCAGGCGGUCUGUUAAGACAGGUGUGAAAUCCCCGGGCUUAACCUGGGAAUUGCGCUUGUUUACUGGGCAGGCUAGAGUGUGUCAGAGGGAGGUAGAAUUC